This is a long non-coding RNA of Lagenorhynchus albirostris (white-beaked dolphin), 1236 nucleotides long. RefSeq lists it as uncharacterized. The record is from RefSeq and is a predicted model, not a curated record. NCBI's taxonomy places the organism in Eukaryota, Metazoa, Chordata, Mammalia, Artiodactyla, Delphinidae. The transcript has 5 exons.
AGCUGUAGUUCUCGUGCUGGUUGCUGCUUCAGAACGUCUGCCGCCUGAGGGGGACGCUGGUUCGCUGUGUGCUGGCCCCGAGUCGCGUUGUCCCUGGAGGAUAGUGGAGAGCGACUGGGUCGUGGUCCUCCUGGCUUUCUUACCGUCACUUUUGUUCUUUACGUCCUGUCUCCGGUUUAGCACCGUGAUGUGCGGCAGGGGUUACUAUUACAGUUAGCCUUAUCAUCCCUCCGGCAUUUUGUGUGAUAAACACUCUGCAGCCACUUCUGCUGACCGAGACAAGUCAAUUUUUGGUCUUUGCGCCUUUGCUAAGGUCCUUUGCGGUGUCUCCCACGUGUGGCGUCUUAGCCGUGUGUGGAAGUCCUACCCGUUCAUAGAACUCGGUUCAGAGGCUCCUGUGACUCUUGGACUCAACCUUUUCAGCUGGAACCGUUCCGUCCUCCCAGUGCCCGCUGGCUGCUCGCACCUGGCUUUAGUCUGGUUUCUUUCUGCUUUGAUUCCUCGUUGCAUUUGCGUGUGCCUCCCAACGUCUCCUCGGAUGGCGACUGGAUUUUGAUUCCUCUUUGUGUUCACCAGAGCUAGAACAGCGUUUUGAAUCGAAUAAUAAUAGAAGCUGACACUGUGAGAAACCCGGCACUGUUGGGAGAGGUUCAGACCUCUGAAGAAAGGAUGUGGUUCCUGCCACAGGAACAUGCAGCCCACUGAUGAGUUGCUGCUUUCUUUUGAACUUCUGGCCAUCAUGGUGUAGCUGGGACUGAAUUUAUUUUCUCAUCUGAAACAACUGGAAAACGAAAAUAUAUGAAACAGCAGUUUUCAGAUACUGGACAACAGGCAGUACAGGACAGUGAUUCCUGAGAGAAGGAAAAUAAGUAGACAAAGGCUGAGAAGAAAUGGAUAAACAUUUGGGGAAAGGAUGAGGAGAAAUCAAAUACAAGGAGGAAAAAGGGAAGCAAGAGCAAGAAAAUACUUUUCACAAAACAAGAUACGAAGAGUAUUUGGGAUUUAAGACCAAAUGAAGAUUAUGAGUAUAAUUUCUCUAAGGAAGGAAUCCCAUUUUAUUGAAUUCUGUAUCAUGGCAUGGAAUAUAGUGCCUGACACACAGGAAGUAAUCAGGAAGUGUUUCUGGAAUGAAUCUUUUUGGUCCAAGGAGACACAAUGAUUGAUUUGCAACAAGUGUACUCUUCAAGUACAUUUGCAGUCAUGAUUUGCAAUGAACAAAGAAAAAAGGACUAGAAC